UGCCUUAGAAAUCCGUGUCGAGAUUUCGUCAAAAACCAGGCCGUCAGGACUGGUGAAACUCUCAAGAUAAGUGCAGCU
This is a non-coding RNA of Schistosoma mansoni, 78 nucleotides long. The record is from Rfam. NCBI's taxonomy places the organism in Eukaryota, Metazoa, Platyhelminthes, Trematoda, Strigeidida, Schistosomatidae.